RNAcentral lists this ribosomal RNA (253 nucleotides) under uncultured bacterium. Its description in RNAcentral is "partial 16S ribosomal RNA". It matches the Rfam family "Bacterial small subunit ribosomal RNA", at positions 524 to 776 of the family's 1533-position model. The record is from RNAcentral.
UACGUAGGGGGCAAGCGUUGUCCGGAUUUAUUGGGCGUAAAGAGCGUGUAGGCGGCCAGACAGGUCUGCUGUGAAAACUCGAGGCUCAACCUCGAGAUGUCGGCGGAAACCGUUUGGCUAGAGUCCGGAAGAGGAGAGUGGAAUUCCUGGUGUAGCGGUGAAAUGCGCAGAUAUCAGGAAGAACACCUAUGGCGAAGGCAGCUCUCUGGGACGGUACUGACGCUGAGACGCGAAAGCGUGGGGAGCGAACAGG